AUGAAAAGUAUUGAGCUCAAAAGUACUUGUAAAACUUUUAUUUCACAGGAAAAAUAUAUGAAACAGUACAGAACUAGCCGCCAGUUCGUGGGAAUCACGAACUGGCCAAACGACAUGGCCGACGUGAAUCUCGCAAGUGCCGCGAAAUUCAAGAUGGCCGCCGUUCGCGUGCAAAAGUGCCGUGCGGCCCACGAUCGAGGAUACGAUCGCGGUCUGCCGGCAUGGAAAAGAG
Pelobates cultripes (western spadefoot toad) is the source of this 232-nucleotide non-coding RNA. The record is from the annotation of a GenBank genome assembly. NCBI's taxonomy places the organism in Eukaryota, Metazoa, Chordata, Amphibia, Anura, Pelobatidae.